This 213-nucleotide ribosomal RNA is filed under the name Staphylococcus epidermidis. RNAcentral's name for it is "partial 23S ribosomal RNA". It matches the Rfam family "Bacterial large subunit ribosomal RNA", at positions 1640 to 1852 of the family's 2925-position model. Lineage: Bacteria; Bacillati; Bacillota; Bacilli; Caryophanales; Staphylococcaceae. The record is from RNAcentral.
GCCCGUACCGCAAACCGACACAGGUAGUCAAGAUGAGAAUUCUAAGGUGAGCGAGCGAACUCUCGUUAAGGAACUCGGCAAAAUGACCCCGUAACUUCGGGAGACGGGGUGCUCUUUAGGGUUCACGCCCAGAAGAGCCGCAGUGAAUAGGCCCAAGCGACUGUUUAUCAAAAACACAGGUCUCUGCUAAACCGUAAGGUGAUGUAUAGGGGC